Molecule: ribosomal RNA, 429 nt
Filed under: uncultured bacterium
Lineage: Bacteria
Description: bacterial SSU rRNA
Rfam family: Bacterial small subunit ribosomal RNA
Source: RNAcentral
UGGGGAAUUUUGGACAAUGGGCGAAAGCCUGAUCCAGCCAUGCCGCGUGCAGGAUGAAGGCCUUCGGGUUGUAAACUGCUUUUGUACGGAACGAAAAGACUCUUUCUAAUAAAGAGGGUCCAUGACGGUACCGUAAGAAUAAGCACCGGCUAACUACGUGCCAGCAGCCGCGGUAAUACGUAGGGUGCGAGCGUUAAUCGGAAUUACUGGGCGUAAAGCGUGCGCAGGCGGUUAUGCAAGACAGAUGUGAAAUCCCCGGGCUCAACCUGGGAACUGCAUUUGUGACUGCAUAGCUAGAGUACGGUAGAGGGGGAUGGAAUUCCGCGUGUAGCAGUGAAAUGCGUAGAUAUGCGGAGGAACACCGAUGGCGAAGGCAAUCCCCUGGACCUGUACUGACGCUCAUGCACGAAAGCGUGGGGAGCAAACAGG